UAGAGGAGUCUCUCCUCCCCCUUGUGAGGCCGUCAGCUUGGGAGUUGCAAGAAGUUGGCUGUUAUGAGGCGUUCACUGUUGGUGUCCCUACCAGGAAGCUCAUAGGCUGGCAUUUACAUAUAUCAGCCUGAGGGUAUUUGCUUAUGUCACAAUCCCUCUCUCUCUACCAUGCUGGGUGGGUAGGAGGAUGCGGCCUUGUGGGUGUAGCAGAGAAUUAUGAACUUCUCUGAAGGCUGCCAACAAAAUGUCAAGUCAGUCCACUGACAGAAAGGAAGAGAAACCUUGGAAAAAACAUUAUUGCUUAUGUUCCAUCUGAAUCUGAGCAGCUGACCUGACGAAGGAGGCCUACAGGAGUGAGAUCUUUGAAUAGAUCUGCAUUCAAAUCCAGCUCUGUAUGACUCACAGCAAGAACUGUAAACACCCCAUGUGUAUAAAAGGCCUUCUGGCAACAACACCUUUUAAAGUUUCCACAAGGAAAUGACAUAAAGCACUUCUGCUCACAGUUAAUUGGCCAAAGCAAGUCCCAUGACGACACCUAACUCUAAGGAAGAUCAAUCCUAGCAUAUAUCUGGAAAAAGAACCAAAAGUACUUGGUGAACACCUUUGUCAUCAUUCUUUCUACCACAUUCUUUGAAAAUCGAUGUAUACUUGGAUUUCCUGUUUGAAAUCAUUAUUUUUGGAAUGGCUUUUAAACAAAUUAUAAUAAUAUAUUAUAAUAGUGCUGCUAUUUAUGGAGUGACACUGCCCUCUCCAGAUGUGGCCUAAAAGGAUACUAAGGAAGGAAACAUCUUCGAGGGAAUGGAAUAAAGGGCCACAAAUAAUAUUUCCCACCCUAAGGGAGGGAUCCUUAUAACAUCUGGCCCAAGGGAUUCCAGAAUUGCUGCGGACCAAAGACUGCUGUAUUUCUGUAAUUACCCCAUUUUCUUAAUGAAAGUUUUCUGGUUGUUCUGCCUCAGUCUACUGUUGUAUGGUGUGUGCAUACAUGCACAUCUGUACAUGCAUGAAUGUGUGUGUGUUGGCAGGGAGGGCAUGGUGGUUGCAUUGGUGGAAAGUAAUUUGUCCUAUUCAUAUAUAGGUCUCCAUAUCAAAUGCAGCUACAUCUUGGCCUGCUAUAAGCCUCUGUGCAUCUCACCAUGAUGAAGAGAUCACUUGGAAUCACUUGGAGAGCUUGGACAUUGAGGCUGGAACCAGGAAGAGUAUUUUUCAAGAACUGUUCACAAACAGAUCAGGGAACAGGGUUUCACUUAGGAUUACCUUGCCAACAAGCGCCGACCGUAAGUUGCAUGGCUAUGUGAGAUGGAUGAAUGGGCCAAUCGUUGGUCACCAGGUACGGU
Non-coding RNA from Callithrix jacchus (white-tufted-ear marmoset), 1334 nucleotides. The record is from RefSeq and is a predicted model, not a curated record. Lineage: Eukaryota; Metazoa; Chordata; Mammalia; Primates; Cebidae.